Molecule: long non-coding RNA, 1521 nt
Organism: Galeopterus variegatus (Sunda flying lemur)
Lineage: Eukaryota; Metazoa; Chordata; Mammalia; Dermoptera; Cynocephalidae
Exons: 2
Source: RefSeq, a predicted model, not a curated record
UGCCUGGAUCCUGUUCUUGGCUCUGGCCUUUCCCACUUGUCUUUAACAUGGACACUCAUGAGAUCCUCCAGGAGGACCAGUGCAUCCUCAAGCUCUGCUACAUCAGGGCCAGAGACUUGUUGGGCUUCGUGUUCAUGCUGGCCAUGCCUGCCAUCUAUGGCAAGCUUUUCCAUUGCCACUGCAAAAUGAAGCCAAUGCACAUGGUAUUGGCCAUCAGCCAGAAGUUAUUGUUCCUCUGGGUCUGGGGUCACCAGCCAAGGUGCCACCUGCUUUAUCUCUGGUGAUGACCUGGAGUCCAUGUGACCCACCCUGGUGGACAUCCAGCAGAAUGGCCCUUGACUGCUAGGCAUGGAUAAGGUUAAGGGCAGGAAGCAGAAUGCUAUGUGUUCUAUUCCAUCAUGCUUCUCUUCUUGCCCCUGGGCCCUUGUACUGGUGAACCUUCAUCAAGGUCUGUGCCAUGUCCCAUUACUGUUAACACUGUUGAGUUUUGUCUAGGUUGCUAUCCACCCCAGUUGGUUUCCUGGUCAACAAGGACCUCAAGAACUGCCUGUGGACCAAGGCCCCCUGCCAAUGCAUGAGACACACACCUGCCCACCCCAGCCUUCCAGGAACCCUACUGGCUGCCAGACCGAUGGGCAGGCUGGUGUGGCCUUGUGUGUGGGGAAGAUUAACGCUAUAUGCUGCUUAUUUUGCCUCUGAGUAAAAUCUUGCCACUUUCCCCAUUUUCCCUAAUGGGAAAAUAGACCUGUAAAAGUGUGCUUUUUGUGUUUUGUUUUAACUUUUUUGCUCUUUAUUAUGGACAUUUUCAGACAUGCACAGAAGUGGAAAGGAUGGUCCCUGGACCCUGUGUGCCCAUCACUUAGUUACGUUAAUUGUCAAUUAUGAUAAACCUGGUUUCAUUUGUGUCUCCCUCUUCCCACCUGUAUUGUUUAUUGGAAAUCCAAGACACCAUGCCAAUGCAAUCGUAUGCCAAUAUACUUUGGGAGACUGAUAUUCUCUCUUGGUGAUGGUAGUGGUGGGGUGCACUAUCAUUAUCACAUCAACUCUGCUUUUUGUUUUUAAUGUUAUCUAAUGAAGUUCCAGAGAUGGGCUUUAGAAAUGCAAGUCUUCAGAAUUAAUGAGUCUCAAAAAGACAUGAAGGGGAUGCUCCCUUUCCACUGCAUCUACAAAAGGAGAGGGAGAUCAUUCUGCUGUAAUACUCAAAGACUGAUAUGAUAAGGUACUUAAGUGAGACUCUCUACCAGAAUAUCAAUCUUUUUUUUCUCAUGUAACUUGGAGACUCGUGUGACUGUUAGGAUUCUGAUAACAGCUUGUCAUGUUCUCAUAACUCUAGUCUUGGAAAUAUAUUUUGAAAAGUGUUAUGUUCUGUGAAAAUAACCUCCUCAGAGUAAUCAGUAACUGGUUGUUGUACUUGAUAAUUUGACACCCUGGUAAUAAUGCAAUUAUUUCUCUGUUCCUAAACAGUACAAAUAGUGUAAGCUUGCAUGCAUGAUGGAAAAAUAAAAACCUUUAUCUCUGUUA